Molecule: non-coding RNA, 3624 nt
Organism: Microcebus murinus (gray mouse lemur)
Lineage: Eukaryota; Metazoa; Chordata; Mammalia; Primates; Cheirogaleidae
Source: RefSeq, a predicted model, not a curated record
UCAUCACCAUGAAGACGGCCAGGAUGAUGCUCAGAGAGGCCAGGACGCGGACAUGGACGGAAACCCUGGGGCGAGGAUGCCAGAGGUUCAAGUUCAGGACUUCUGAGGCCAGUCCCUGCUUCUCCUGCCACUGGGCUGAGCUUCCACUGGGGCAGAAGAACAUCCUCAUCAUCCCAGCAAAUACUGGCAUGGUAUUUAACUUGCGCUAGGCCCUCUGCUCAGUGUUCUCUACAUGCUGACGCGUUUAAUCCUCACACUGCCUCAGUAAGAUAGGUAUUCUCACCUAUCCCAGUACACAGAUAAGGAAGCUGAGGUCAGAGAGGUUAAGGAACUUGCUCAAGCUCACUCAGCUGUGAACCCAGGAGCUCUGGCUCCAGUCUGAUGUCUCAGAAAGCUGCUCUAUGCCUCCUCUGGUACAAAGGAAACGUGGGUGGCAUGGAACACGUGGCCAGGGCAGGUGACUCUCCGGUGAUGGUCUCAGUUGUCAUGGCAGCAGCUGAGCCUGAAUGCCGCCCAGGCCUAGGGGACCUGCCCCCACACCCACAGCCCCCGCCUGCGUAUAAGCCAUGCACUUCUCCCAGCCCCCACACUGGCCUGGGGAGAAAGGCAGGGAAGGAGGCUGGCGGAGAAACUGCACAUUUUUAUUCUAGGGAGCAAGAGCAUCAUCUCAAGGGGCUGUUUAAAUCAUCAGAUUAGACUAAGCUUUAAACCGCAUUGGAUGUUUAGUUAAUUUUCCUGUUAACCAGUGGGCAGGGGGCUGAGAAAAAGCCAGAUUUCAUAGACAUAAAUUUUCUUUUGGCUAAAAAAUGAAGGACUUGAAAGGUAGAAAAAUAUCUAUAUACAUAAGUAGGUAUGAAAUGAUGAGCAUGAGAAGUAGGAAAGGCUUUUCUCAACGUGCUUUGGUGGGCCCCAGCUAAUUUGCGUUUCCGUCUGGUCCUAGGCUGCAGGGGAAGCCGGCUGCAGGGGGAACAGGCGCUGUGUCAAGGGGCAGAGGGAGCCCGAGGAGUAGAAGGGACAGUUCGAGGCUGCAGAGUGAGUCUGUGGGGAGCUGGGGUGGGGCCCAGGUGUGCUGAGCCCCAGCCCGCUGCUCAGUCUGCCAACGUGCGUGCUCCACGGCACGUCCGUCCUGCAAACACGCGCUGGUGACUCAAGCGCUAUGCUGGGUGCCCGGGACGAGGGACAGAGCAGCAACAGGCUUUCAUUCCACUGCACUCAGUGCUCCCACGGGAAGCCACAGGGCACCCUGGGGCACAUCCGAGGGGCACAGAACCCCCCUGAGCAUCGUGGAAGGCUGUCUGGAGGCAACACCUAAGCCAGACCAUGGGGACGACAGGGAAGCCCAUCUGGACGUAAGUGUGCAAGUCUUGGAGGGAGCGAGGCGUGUUCAGGGAGCUGAAAUGAGGCUGGACAGAGACAUGGAUCCACGUCCUGGAGGGGGUGGGGGUGUGUGUGUAUCUUUGCCUGCCAGCACCCCUCCCCCUGGGAGAACACUCCUUCCUCCAUCCCAGCCACCCUGGGAAGGUCCCGGGGCGGUGGUCGGCCACAUCACCCACACCAACAGCACAAACAACAGGCGCAUGACCCGGCCUGGCUCAUCACAGAUCAGAGUGUUCCAUGCUCUAGGCCACUGGGGCUGAGGGAGGAGUUAGCAUGUGACCACACAGGGCCAGUAAGUCUCCCCUGGUACUGCUGCACGGAAGCCGGUGGGGAGGAGCUCUCUGCUGUGACUGUGUCUGCGGCUCUAGCUGCCAUCGUGCCAGCUGUGAGCAGUGACGCUGCAUACAGAGUAAAGCCAAGGGGAGACACGUGGAGCCUGGGCAAGCGGAGACCCCCUAGACCCAGCAUUGCCUGCAGGCAGACCGGCCUUUAAUUUCUAGUUAAAGAACGAGAGAAUCCUUUUUUGUGUCUCUACUGUUUGCCACCAAGAGUGCCCAGGGUUUUAAGCUGGGGAAAGACAUGGUCAGAAACCAAAGUGAUGCUGCUGGUGUCCUGUCCACAUGCCCUCCCUCCUACCACUCCAUGACACACUGGUCCAUGGAGCAGGUUGGAAGUGACAGGUAAGUAACACCUCCUGAGACCACCUCCAAUCACGACUAGGGAAGUGGGUGGUACGUACCCCAGCCCCCACCCCACCGGCUGUGUGGUCCACACUGGCUCCCAGAGUCCCCAGCUGGAUUAAGCUCUGGUCACCCUGUGUGGGAGCUGGCUGGAUAGGGCAUCCUUACGGGCCGCCUUUUCUUCCCUGUCUGCCUUCUGUGCUCUUCACCUUCCCCUCCCGAAUAAACUACUUGUGUUUGAAACCUUGUUUCAGGGUCUGCAAGGGCCUCGGGCCUGGGCAGAAAGCAGUGGGCAGCCGGGCAGAGUGCCUGGACCCUCGGGGGCCUACAGCAUCAGCUGUAAGAGCACAGCAGGGGCCCUGGGGGCUGGCAGUCAAGCCCUACCCCUGAUGCUUGGGGUGAUCCUGCAACCUCAACGCUUUUCACACAGGGUCCCCCGCCUUUGCCUAGCAGCUGGAGCUGCCCCACCCACCCCCAAGAUAAGAGCCAGCAAGGGCAGAGAGCCUGAGUCAGGAGACCAGAGCCUUGCCCAGCUCUGUCAUCAAUUUGCUGCGUGACCCCAGGCAAAUAUCCAAUCUCUCUGAGCCUCUGUCCUCUCAUCUCUAAAAAGAAGAGACUAGACCAGAUAAUAUUAUAUUAAAGUCCCUAACAGCUAAGAAUUCUAAAUCUGAAGAAAUUCAAGUCGACAGAGACAUUGGAGACAAAUACCAAAAAGUUUUAACCAGUUUCUUGGGGCAAGGAGGUGGCAAAGGACACUCUGGGUGCAAGGGCAGGGCCCUGCCUGUUCUCCCCUGGCACCAGCACAGGGUCUGGCGGGCACCUGGUAAUGCUGGAUGUACAGAUAGACAAGCCAGGGGACCAGCAGUGUGGGGGCUGCUGCCUGCCUCCUGCCCCCUCCUCGGCGUGGUGGGGAGUGGGGCUGAAGACAUCUGCCGGUAAGGACAAAGUCCAGCAGAAGCCCUCCUGUGUGCUGUCACUACAAGGUGAUUAAGUGGCUUGGACAGGAAGGUGGCCGUGCAAAGAGCUGGGGGACUUCUCGCUCAGGCACGCCCAGGGCGGGAGGAGAGGGAGGUGCACAGGCAGACGUCGGCAUUCCGAGCGCCAUGCAGUUUGGAACACUGGCUCUGUACCCACAAGGCCCCUCACCUGUGCGGGUCUCCUCCUCGCCUGCUGAUUCCCUGCUGCAUCAACCACGCCCGACCAGAGCCUGCAUCUACGGUUCCGGGGCUGUCUCCAACAUUCCUCAAGCUUCAGGAGAGCUGCCAGGUGCAAGCCUGUCCCGCGGGCACUAACAGGCGACACCGGCUUCCCUCUCUGCCUCUCUCAUCCUGGCAGGGAGAGUGGCCCGGGGGAUAGGCACGGCUAGACGACAGUUCCAGGCCCGAGCCUGGGGCAGGUCACAUUCCCAGAAAGAUCCUUGGAGGGGGCUGUCGGCUCCUCCACCCCCUUACUCGUUAGGGCACAGGACCCCAGGGGACUGGUUUCUUCAUAAGUCUCCAAAAUGUAAAUCGUCCUCAUAAGUAUUUAUGAUGCUGCAGAUUUAACAUAAUAAAACACUUGGCGAUUA